UUUCAUAAACAACGUACCAUAUUUACACACGUGUAUGUUGAAUUAUGCAGGCUUUCGUUUUUUUUAUCGAUGUUGGUUUAGACAUGUUUACAAACUUGCUAAGUUGCUAAGAUAAAUACAAAUACAAAUGCCAGCUAAACUGUUACCGGUAACAUUUGUUCUCAUGAUCAAACUCAAGAAACUCUAAGUACAGAUGAUUUGUUUAAAGUUAUAUGUAUUUUACUGUUGUAUUUACUUGAAGCUUUCUUAGAUUUUGAAACGAAGUAAACACGUAAUGUGUGUUGCUAAUGUUGGGCCAUGUAAUAUGUAAUACAUUUACGUUUUAAUGAAUAGUCUAACGAUUUAUAGUCGUUGUACUCUAUUGUUAUAAUAUUUCUUUUUGACUGAAUACAUGUUUGUUUUAUUUGUCUAUAUCCUAGAUUCGCAGCUGUACACAUCCUUCUACACUGUAUGCAAACAUGCAACAUCAUUACACACAGUACAAGGAGUCAGACUGGCAUAUGAGGAGCAAAGGAACCCAGGCAGUAGCAUCGUUUCACAAUGUUUCCAUCAUCAUCAUCAGUGGAUGCCUUUGCCGUCCGUAGCCUGAGAUUUCAGAUUUGCAGCAAAAAAAAAUGAUUUUCUCAUUUAUUGGAAUGCUGUGCAGGUAUUUGUACCUUGCAGCCAUCCAUUACAAUGUCACCAAGCCGUAACAAAAGCAGGAGAGGGAAAGUACAAGGCUAUGUUCCCAAAACACAAAUGACAUACCUUAUGUGGAGGAUGUGAUCAGGCUUGUGUUUGAUGAGGUAUUUGAAGAUAAGCUGAAGGAAACCCCGAUUCCAAUGGACCUGGCAUCACAGUUUGAGAGACCUUCAAAGGAGGACGUGAUUGCAUGCCAUCUUCAGUGCAGGGGUCGUCGAAAGCCAAAAUUGUGACCGAUCUGAUCAGGAAGCUCCAAGCGUAUCUGGAGAACAACACACGACAGGAUGAUAACCUUAUAGUGUCGUCUUAGAUAGCACCAGCUGACAAAGCUUUGAUAUGCCAUUUAUCUGAAUAGAUAGCUGUAAGAAAUGAAUUGAACAAUUUUUGAAACAAGAGCACAAUAUGGUUACUAAAGUAUGUUUAUUUGUAUAUUGUUUAACAUUUAAAUAUAUAUUUGUAAUAAAUAAAAAAAACUUUUGACUGACUAUUAUAUUUUCUU
Paramisgurnus dabryanus is the source of this 1180-nucleotide non-coding RNA. The record is from RefSeq and is a predicted model, not a curated record. NCBI's taxonomy places the organism in Eukaryota, Metazoa, Chordata, Actinopteri, Cypriniformes, Cobitidae.